RNAcentral lists this ribosomal RNA (535 nucleotides) under uncultured bacterium. Its description in RNAcentral is "bacterial SSU rRNA". It matches the Rfam family "Bacterial small subunit ribosomal RNA", at positions 336 to 864 of the family's 1533-position model. The record is from RNAcentral.
CUCCUACGGGAGGCAGCAGUGGGGAAUUUUGGACAAUGGGGGAAACCCUGAUCCAGCCAUGCCGCGUGAGUGAAGAAGGCCUUCGGGUUGUAAAGCUCUUUUGGCCGGGAAGAAAGGGUCUCUUCGAACAAAGGGGAUCUUUGACGGUACCGGCAGAAUAAGCACCGGCUAACUACGUGCCAGCAGCCGCGGUAAUACGUAGGGUGCGAGCGUUAAUCGGAAUUACUGGGCGUAAAGCGUGCGUAGGCGGUUCGUUAUGUCUGCUGUGAAAGCCCCGGGCUCAACCUGGGAAUGGCAGUGGAAACUGGCGGGCUUGAGUGUGGCAGAGGGGGGUGGAAUUCCGCGUGUAGCAGUGAAAUGCGUAGAGAUGCGGAGGAACACCGAUGGCGAAGGCAGCCCCCUGGGCUGACACUGACGCUGAGGCACGAAAGCGCGGGGAGCAAACAGGAUUAGAUACCCUGGUAGUCCACGCCCUAAACGAUGAUCACUAGGUGUUGGAGAAGCGAUUUUCCAGUACCGUAGCUAACGCGUGAAG